RNAcentral lists this long non-coding RNA (1019 nucleotides) under Homo sapiens (human). Its description in RNAcentral is "HSALNT0366902". Lineage: Eukaryota; Metazoa; Chordata; Mammalia; Primates; Hominidae. The record is from RNAcentral.
CUAAAUAUGAUUAGAAGCUGAACAGCGAGUACACUUCUCCUGAAACAAGCAAGAAAUUCGGCUUCCAGGUAACACGACACUACUUUCAUUAAGGCUUAUUUUCCCCCAUUCCUUCAACCCUAGUUUCCUCAGGGAAGAAGCAAAGAACUAUCAUUAAUAAUUUACAGACUUUGUUCCAAAGGCUGUAAAGGGUAACAUCUCUGGUGUUAAUCCUCUUCACAGCAGCUAUAUUUUCAUCUUAUGGAAAAAUCCAAGGCUAAUGGUAAAAUAACUUCCCCACGGUCACACUGUGCUACUCUAAAGGGACAGCACAUCCCGCAAAGGACCUCUCCUAAAGAGCAGAGAACUUUUCAUUACUGGUGUUGUUCAAGAAAAGCCUUGAUGAUGUAGAAGAGAUUCUUUGAAGGUCACUGCUGUUUCAUUGCCAAGAUGAACUAGGAGGAUGAAGGUAAGACUGGAAACAAAAGGCUUAUUUAGGAAUCAUUUCCAGUACUACAAAGGGAAAGAAAGUAGCACUGAAAGGUUUCCCUUUCACUCCUACCAUUACUAAAUGUGUCCAAUAAUAAUUGGAAAUAUACAGUAUGUGACCUAUUUAAAUUAGCUUCUUUUACUUUGCAAUGCACAUUUAAGGUUCAUCCAUGCCAUUGCCUGGAUUGAUCACUUAUUUCCUUUUAUUGCUGAAUAUUCUAUUGUAUAGAUAUACCACAGUUUGCUUACCCAGUAACUAAAUGAAGAACAUCAUGGUUGCUCCCAGUUUUUGGCAAUUAUGUUUUGGCAAUAAAGAUGUGCAUGCAGGUAACUGUGUAGACAUAAGUCAUCAAAUCAGUUGGGUAAAGAUUUAGAUGUGUGAUGGCUGGAUUAUGGUAAGACUUUGUUUAGCUUUGUAAGAAACUGCCAAACUGUUUUCCAAACUGGCUGUACCAUUUUGCAUUCCCAUCAGUAACGUGUGAGAGCUCCUGUUGUUCUACAUCCUUCUCAGCAUUAGAAUAUAGCUUUGUCAGGUUUUUGGCUUUGGAUUU